CUUWUUGAGUAAAUAAUUUUAAGUYUGACCUGCCCMCUGAAAUUUUGAAGGGCCGCGGUAUUUUGACUGUGCAAAGGUAGCAUAAUCAUUAGUUUUUUAAUUGAAAGCUGGAAUGAAUGGUUGAAUAAAAAAAAAACUGUCUUUAUAUUAAAAAUUGAAUUUUAUUUUUAAGUAAAAAAGCUUAAAUAAAAUUAAAAGACGAGAAGACCCUAUAGAGUUUAAUAUAAUAAUAUUAAUAUGGAAUUAGAAAAUAUAUUUAUAAAAAUUUUAUUGUAUUUAAUUGGGGUGAUUAAAAAAUUAAUUAAACUUUUUUUUAUUUUAAACAAUGAUUUUUGAAUUUAUGAUCCAUAAGUUUUGAUUAUAAGAAUAAAUUACCUUAGGGAUAACAGCGUAAUUUUUUUUGAGAGUUCUAAUUGAAAAAAGAGAUUGCGACCUCGAUGUUGGAUUAAAAUUUAUUUUUGGUGCAGAAGCUAAAAAAUUUAAGYCUGUYCMCUUUUAAAAUUUUMCA
This 508-nucleotide ribosomal RNA is filed under the name Phloeolaemus chamaeropis. Its description in RNAcentral is "partial 16S ribosomal RNA". The stretch from base 382 to 508 matches the Rfam family "Archaeal large subunit ribosomal RNA", at positions 2544 to 2671 of the family's 2987-position model. Lineage: Eukaryota; Metazoa; Arthropoda; Insecta; Coleoptera; Laemophloeidae. The record is from RNAcentral.